This 253-nucleotide ribosomal RNA is filed under the name uncultured bacterium. Its description in RNAcentral is "partial 16S ribosomal RNA". It matches the Rfam family "Bacterial small subunit ribosomal RNA", at positions 524 to 776 of the family's 1533-position model. The record is from RNAcentral.
UACGUAGGGAGCAAGCGUUGUCCGGAAUCAUUGGGCGUAAAGCGCGCGUAGGUGGCCAUGUAAGUCCGCUGUGAAAGUCAAAGGCUCAACCUUUGAAAGCCGGUGGAUACUGCAUGGCUAGAGUACGGAAGAGGCGAGUGGAAUUCCUGGUGUAGCGGUGAAAUGCGUAGAUAUCUGGAGGAACACCGGUGGCGAAGGCGGCAUCCUGGACCGAGAUUGACGCUGAUGCGCGAAAGCCAGGGGAGCAAACGGG